CCUGGAGGUUGACUUCUCUUCCUGCUUGCUGGUCUCUUGGCACAAGGAACCUGAAGCAAUCAGGUAGCGACUAGAGCUGAAAGUUUAGUGGGAUUCUUGUGUAUCCUGGUGGAACCAUCCCCCUGCUGGGAGCCCAGACCUUGAGACCCACAAAGCCUAGGGUGGUGGGGAUGGGAAGUCAAGAUUCUCCCCGUGGCUCACUCGGAGUACGGGGACGGGAGUCACUCUUAACUUCACCUACUGACACCCCAGCUCUGCUAUUUCUGCGUAUUGUAGGCAGCACCCAUUCAUGGUUUCGGUUUAAGAUGAAUCCUGAAAGAGGAAAAUGAUCUUUUCCCCAAGUGGGUCCCUGAGUUGCAUCUCUUUUUCCUGCUAAAGUGUUCUAGUUUUGACCUAUCAAACAUUUUUAAUAUAACAAUUCUUGAAUAUACCAACUUCCAUCCCAACAGCAUCUACGGAGUGGGGUAGGGGUGGGGCUAUGAAGGGAAAGGACAGGUUUUUAGGUUCCUGACUGCUUCCUUCACCUCUGUUGCUUGUGAGAACAUGGUCUUUGCAGAGGACAAGGCAGUUCAGCCAGAGGCCAGGGGCUGCACAGCCCACUGUAAGGCGGCCCCUCCAACAUGACAUCAUUGCCACUUCUCGGGAAAGCCAGAUCUGCUUAGGAGACAAGAGGGAAGUGGUUGUUACUGAGAAGUAGUUCAUCAUUCUUCAGUGUUCUGCUGACCAUGCCUUUGGGGCAUAGGAUAGAGUUUCCUAGAGACUGCUGGAUUGAAAAGAGCUACAAAUCCACCUGGGAGAAGAACAGAAACUGAGUGUGAGCCUACCUCCUGCCAGGAUGUCUUGCUGAUGACUCUGGAAAGCUAGCAUCGCGGUCCACUGGAUGUUUGGAAGGGGAAGGGAUGACAGAGCCUUUGGCCCAGCAGGGCCGCAGCCUUGCCAGAAACAACGGCCGCUCCCCUUUCAAAACAAAUAGUAAAUGCUCUUUUGUAAAUGGAGAUGGGAGGAAAGCUCUGGACUUCUCACCAUUUAACAUCUUGGGGCUUGAGUUUCUUCAUCUACAAAAUGGAGUGAUACCAGAGUGACUGGGAAAUCAAGUGAAACAAAGUAUGGGAAAGCGCUUUUUAACAAUGUAUUCUGCUGUACGGGAAAAGACCUCAAUGCUGGGAAAGAUUGAGGGCAGGAGGAGAAGGGGGCGACAAAGGAUGAGCUGGUUGGAUGGCAUCACCAAGUCAAUAGACACGAGUUUG
Molecule: long non-coding RNA, 1247 nt
Filed under: Bos indicus x Bos taurus (hybrid cattle)
Lineage: Eukaryota; Metazoa; Chordata; Mammalia; Artiodactyla; Bovidae
Description: lncRNA (ENSBIXG00000009351.1)
Source: RNAcentral